Molecule: long non-coding RNA, 1673 nt
Filed under: Pongo abelii (Sumatran orangutan)
Lineage: Eukaryota; Metazoa; Chordata; Mammalia; Primates; Hominidae
Description: lincRNA
Rfam family: Maternally expressed 3 conserved region 2 (bases 517-621)
Source: RNAcentral
GGAGAGCAGAGAGGGAGCGCGCCUUGGCUCGCUGGCCUUGGCUGCGGCUCCUCGGGAGAGCUGGGGCGCCCACGAGAGGAUCCCUCACCUGGGUCUCUCCUCAGGGAUGACAUCAUCCGUCCACCUCCUUGUCUUCAAGGACCACCUCCUCUCCAUGCCGAGCUGCUGCCAAGGGGCCUGCUGCCCAUCUACACCUCACGAGGGCACUAGGAGCACGGAUUCCUGGAUCCCACCAACAUACAAAGCAGCCACUCACAGACCCCCAGGACCAGGAUGGCAAAGGAUGAAGAGGACCGGAACUGACCUGCCAGCUGUCCCUCUUACCUAAAGACUUAAACCAAUGCCCUAGUGAGGGGGCAUUGGACAUUAAGCCCUGACUUUUGCUAUGCUCAUGCUUUGACUCUAUGAGUACUUUCCUAUAAGUCUUCGCUUGUGUUCACCUGCUAGCAAACUGGAGUGUUUCCCUCCCCAAGGGGGUGUCAGUCUUUGUCGACUGACUCUGUCAUCACCCUUAUGAUGUCCUGAAUGGAAGGAUCCCUUUGGGAAAUUCUCAGGAGGGGGACCUGGGCCAAGGGCUUGACCAGCAUCCUGCUGGCAACUCCAAGGCCCUGGGUGGGCUUCUGGAAUGAGCAUGCUACUGAAUCACCAAAGGCAUGCCCCACCUCUCUGGAGAUCUUCCUAUCCUUUUCUGGGGAAUGGGGUCAAUGGGAGCAACCUCCUAGGGUUGUUGUGAGAAUUAAAUGAGAUAAAAGAGGCCUCAGGCAGGAUCUGGCAUAGAGGAGGUGAUCAGCAAAUGUUUGUUGAAAAGGUUUGACAGGUCAGUCCCUUCCCACCCCUCUUGCUUGUCUUACUCGUCUUAUUUAUUCUCCAACAGCACUCCAGGCAGCCCUUGUCCACGGGCUCUCCUUGCAUCAGCCAAGCUUCUUGAAAGGCCUGUCUACACUUGCUGUCUUCCUUCCUCACCUCCAAUUUCCUCUUCAACCCACUGCUUCCUGACUCGCUCUACUCCGUGGAAGGGCACUCACAAAGGGCUAAUCUAGGGCCUUGUCGAAGGAAGAGGCUGCAGACGUUAAUGAGGUUAGCUGCUGGAUUCCAAUAUUCGUCGCAUAAGGAGCCUUCUUUGUCUGCGAAGGAAAAACACACUGAUUAUCAUAAUGAGGCACGUGGGCCGCGGCCCAGCUGGGUCGGCUGAAGAACUGCGGAUGGAAGCUGUGGAAGAGGCCCUGAUGGGGCCCACCAUCCCGGACCCGAGUCUUCUUCCUGGAGGGCCUCUCGUCUCCUUCCUGUUUUGGGCGGAAGCCAUCACCUGGAUUCCUACGUGGGAAGGGACCUCGAAUGUGCGACCCCAGCCCCUCUCCAGCUCGAAAUCCCUCCACAGCCACGGGGACGCCCUGCACCUAUUCCCACGGGACAGGCUGGACCCAGAGACUCUGGACCCGGGGCCUCCCCUUGAGUAGAGACCCGCCCUCUGACUGAUGGACGCCGCUGACCUGGGGUCAGACCCGAGGGCUGGACCCCUGCCCACCCCGCAGGAACCCUGAGGCCUAGGGGAGCUGUUGAGCCUUCAGUGUCUGCAUGUGGGAAGUGGGCUCGUUCACCUACCUCACAGGGCUGUUGUGAGGGGCGCUGUGAUGCGGUUCCAAAGCACAGGGCUUGGCGCACCCCACUGUGCU